Molecule: long non-coding RNA, 9335 nt
Organism: Pangasianodon hypophthalmus (striped catfish)
Lineage: Eukaryota; Metazoa; Chordata; Actinopteri; Siluriformes; Pangasiidae
Exons: 3
Source: RefSeq, a predicted model, not a curated record
GCUUAGGGGACUGUCACGUGACGAACGAAGGACUCAAACCCGAAGACUCGAGAGAUGAACUAAUCAAUUCUCUUUCCGGCUCAGGCUGCAUUGGUUAAGCUUAUGGGGCUGUCACGUGAUGAACGAACGACUCAGACCCGAAGACUCGAAACAGGUGAACUAAUUUCAGUACAGAACCUAUAGGAUGUUGCUCAUGCGCGACUGAACGAAUCACUCCCCGAGACGACUCGUUCUUCCCGAGUCACAUUAAAAAUGAACGAGUCACAUUCAAAAUGAACGAAUCGUUCAAGAACGACCCAUCACUAGUCAGAACUAAUUUUACACAGCAGGAUUUUGAACCGCCGACAGGUCCAGAUAUUUAGCAUGCCAAAUAUUUCACGAGCAUCGGUGAUUCUCUCAGAUCGCGUCUUUGAUAAUUCACUCUGCGUGAUUGUCACUCGCGUGAACGAGCACAGAUUUGCCUCCGAUUUCAGGCAUUUGUCUGUGAUUUCGCAAAACCUGUCGGCGCGUGAAAAAUCGGGCUAAAAUCGUGCAGUGUUAACUCGGCAUAAGGGCAAAACAUUUGUGAAACAGAGGAAAAGCACUUAAAUCAUUCAACCGUUUUCGCUAGGCUAAGAUAACAGCAGACUGAAAAAGCAUAGUUCCUUUUCACUUUGAUAGUCAUACCUUGUGUCCAAUCAGAAACGAGCAUGUGACGUUCAAUAAGGACCUACCCUUUCCGUUUUGAGUUAAUGUUGUGUUUUUGAUUUAGUUGUUGUGUUAUUUUAUUUGCUGUUGCGUUUUUCGUUUGUCUAAGUGUUUUGCACUUUAGGGCCACCAUAUUAAACAUGUUUAACACCUUAAAACAUAAGAUUAAAUAUAGCACCAGACAAUAUAGAUGGUAAUUUCCUUAAACUCGCCCUGAUGUCGCUGCUUGCUUGCUUCCAUGAUUUAUCGACCAGUGCAUGAAGAGGAAAAAAUUUGAAAUUCAGAUCAUGCGUAACUGAAGACCUCUACUCUGUCUACAGUCAGCAGACAGGGCGGCCCUCACGUGUGAAGGUCGGACAUCAAGGAGUCAAGACACCUAUGUCACAAUUACCUGCGACUAUUUACGUGAUGACUGGGUUCUCAUUUCAAAUGUGUUGCAGACCAAGGCUAUGCAGGCUAGCCACACAGGGGCAAAUAUAUGUGGAAUGCUUUCACAGGCUUUGGAAGAGUGGGAGCUCACUAAGAAAGAUCUCUUAUUGUGACAGACAAUGCUGCCAACAUGAUACUUACCUUGGAGAUGAUGGAGCUGCACCAUUUUGGCUUCAUUGCUCACACAGUAAAUCUGGUAUCGCAAGCUGUGCUGACACUUCCAGACGUCUCUCGGUUGCUUGGUUGAGUUAGGUGCAUAGUGUCAUUCUUUCAUAGGAGCAUAAAGUUUUCAAAGAAAAACAAAUGUUACUGAACUUACCUUGUCACAAGCUUAAAAUUGGCAUGGUGACCAGGUGUAACAGCACGCUGGAUAUGCUCGACAGAUUUUUGGAACAGCAACCAUCAAUACACUGCUUUCUCCUGAAAUCCGCAGGAGCAAAAAGGACCUUUGCACCCUGGCAGGGGCAGAAAUAAUGGUGGCAGAGGACAUUGUGAAAGCUCUUCAGCCUAUGAAGGCUGCAACGCUAGCAUUGUCUAGGGAAAGUUCCACUACCCUAUCUGUCAUUGCACCAUUGCAUGCACAGCUACUUGAGGAGCCAGACUACCAGUGAUUCCGCUGUCAUUAAGGAACUCAAAUCUGCUGUGCACAACAACUUGACGUUCAGAUAUGCAAAUCUGAAAGAGAAGCUGCAUGUUGCAUCUGCACUUGACCUUUGUAUCAAGACCCUUCCUUUUAUGUUUGACAAGGACUGAGAGGACUCAUUCACAAAAUUAAUUACAGAGAUAGUCACAUUGGAGCAAGUUAAGACACAUGAUCAGCAAGGAUCUGAUAGUGCUGGUAUUGGAGGAAGUGCACCUGUACAGGGGCAAAAAUCCCUUGGUGAUGACCUCUCCCCACCAUAGAGGUCAAAAGAAUCUUGAGCACUGUUGGAUAUGCUUGGGGCAGCCUUUGCACGAGUGGCUACAGGGGCCUAAUGCUGCAGACAGGGCACAAGAAGAAGUCAUCAAAUACAGGGAAGUUACACCUGUACCUCUCUCAGAAGAUCCACUUAAGUGGUGCACUAUGGAUGAAGUGUGUCCUAUCAGUUUUGUAGCAUUUGACUGAAUCUGAGCAGAAAAAAUAGCUCUAUACAUGUCAGAAUUCAUCCUGCUAAUUCACAUCAUCAUUAAACACCAGUGACCCAGUUCCAUUAGCAGCCAUACAUGCCCAUGCCAUAACACUGCCUCCAAAUGUUUGACAGAUGAUGUGGUAUGCUUUGGAUCAUGAGCCAUUCCUUUCCUUCUCCAUCUCUUCUCUUACCAUCAUUCUGGUACAAGUUAAUCUUGCAACCGAAUUGGUCAGGCGUUUUUCUGUUCUUGAGUGUUACCAGUGGGUUGCAUCUUGAGGUAAACCAUCUGUAUUUACAUUCAUGAAGGCGUCUAUUGAUUGUAGACUUUUACAGUGAUACGCCUACCUCCUCCAGAGUGUUGACUUGACUUGGUUAGAUAUUGUGAGCGGGUUUUCUUCACCAAGGAACGAAUUCUGUGAUCAUCCAAUUUAGUUGUCUUCUGUGGCUCUCUGAUAGGUCUGUUUUGGUUUUUCAGCCUAAUGAUGGCCUCCUUCACUUGCAUCAACACCUCUUUGGACUGCAUAGUGAAAGUUCCCAUGGACAGCUACCAAAUGUAAAUUCAACACUUGAAACUCCAGACCUUUUAUCUCUUUAAUUUGUGAUUAAAUAACGAGGACACAGGCCACACCUGGCCAUGAAACUUUUUAUCAGUCAGUUCUCUAAAUAUUUUUGAGAUAAAUGUAGGGAACAUGUAAAAAAAAUGGCUAUAAUUCCUAAACGGUUAAUGCAAUAUUUCUGUUAUACCCCUGAAUUAAAGCUGAAAAUCUACACUUCAAUCACAUUGCUUCAUUUCAAAUUCAUUGUGGUGGUGUACAGAGGCAAAAUUGUGUCACUGUCCAAAUACUUAUGGACCUGACUGUACAUGCACAUCCAUGUCAUACUAUUACUAGAGGAUUUUCACUUUGUAAUGAUGAAAAAUGUGAUUGUUUAUAUUCAGGAAAGCUGUUUUUUCCCCAAGUAAACACAUACAUGCAUGUCCGUGUCAAAAUGUGAAAAAUCAUGUGUAGAAAGAUACUUUUCAUGAAAUAUGCACUCACUCAUCUCAAUGAAUGCCUAUUUGAUUACACAAGAGUGUGAAUAAGGGGCUGAAAAUGUGUUAUAGCAAGUUUCAAGGCACUAAGCCUUCAGGAAAGCUGUUUUUCAUGCAAACACAGACAUGCAUGUCCGUGUCAUACUUUAAUAGAGGUUUUUCAGUGUUAUGAUAGAAAAUUAUAUGAAACAUGAAUGUUUACUUUAAAAUUUGUAUGUUGAUCAUACUGUGUUAAAAAGUCAAAAACAUGAAAAAUCAUGUGUAGAAAGGUACUUUUCAUCAAAUAUGCACUCACUCAUCUCAAUGAAUGCCUAUUUGAUUACACAAGAGUGUGAAUAAGGGGCUGAAAAUGUGUUAUAGCAAGUUUCAAGGCACUAAGCCUUCAGGAAAGCUGUUUUUCAUGCAAACACAGACAUGCAUGUCUGUGUCAUACUUUAAUAGAGGUUUUUCAGUGUUAUGAUAGAAAAUUAUAUGAAACAUGAAUGUUUACUUUAAAAUUUGUAUGUUGAUCAUACUGUGUUAAAAAGUCAAAAAUAUGAAAAAUCAUGUGUAGAAAGGUACUUUUCAUCAAAUAUGCACUAACUCACUCUUUUCUCAGUGAAUUCCUUUGUGAUUACACAAAAGUGUGAAUAAGGCACUGCAAAUAGGUUUUAGCAUUUUUCAAGGCACUAGGGCUUCAGGAAAGCCAUGUUUCUGUACAUACAUGUAUUUCUGUGUCAUAUUUUUAAUAGAGGUUUUUCACAGUGUUAUGGUAGAAAAUUAUAUGAAACAUGAUUGUUUAUGUUAAAAUUCAUAUCGAUCAUAUUGAUCAUAAUGUGUUAAAAAGUCAAAAUGUUUAAAAAAUAUUGUGUAGAAAGGUAAUUUUCUUCAAAUAUGCACUAAUGCACUGUUUUCUCACUGAAUACCUUUGUGCUUAAACAGCUCUGUGUGUUAGGCACUUGAAAAUGCAUUUUCACAAGUUUCAAGGUGCUAGAGCUUCAGGAAAGCUGUUUUUUCCCCACGCAAACAUAUACAUGCACAUCCAUGUCAUACUUUUCAUAGACGUUUUUUUUUUUCAUUUUGUUAUGAUUAAUUAUAUGAAACAUGAUUAUUUAUAUUAAAAUUAAUGUAAUAUAAUAUUGAUAAUAAAGUGUUAAAAAGUGUUAAAAACUCCUGAAAAACAACCCCACACCAUAAUUCCUCCUCCACCAAAUUUCACACUCGGCACAAUGCAGUCCGAAAUGUACCGUUCUCCUGGCAACCUCCAAACCCAGACUCGUCCAUCAGAUUGCCAGAUGGAAAAGCGUGAUUCAUCACUCCAGAGAACGCGUCUCCACUGCUCUAGAGUCCAGUGGCGGCGUGCUUUACACCACUGCAUCCGACGCUUUGCAUUGCACUUGGUGAUGUGUGGCUUGGAUGCAGCUGCUCGGCCAUGGAAACCCAUUCCAUGAAGCUCUCUGCGUACUGUACUUGGGCUAAUCUGAAGGUCACGUGAAGUUUGGAGCUCUGUAGCAAUUGACUGUGAAGAAAGUCGACGACCUCUUUGCACUAUGCGCUUCAGCAUCCGCUGACCCCUCUCCGUCAGUUUUCGUGGCCUACCACUUCGUGGCUGAGUUGCUGUUGUUCCCAAACUCUUCCAUUUUGUUAUGAUAAAGCUGACAGUUGACUGUGGAAUAUUUAGGAGCGAAGAAAUUUCACGACUGGAUUUGUUACACAGGUCGCAUCCUAUGACAGUUCCACGCUGGAAUUCACUCAGCUCCUGAGAGCGGCCCAUUCUUUCACAAAUGUUUGUAAAAACAGUCUGCAUGCCUAAGUGCUUGAUUUUAUACACCUGUGGCCAGGCCAAGUGAUUAGGACACCUGAUUCUGAUCAUUUGGAUGGGUGACCGAAUACUUUUGGUAAUAUAGUGUUAUUAUACAUAUUGGUAAUAUGUUUUAAUUUUAAGUUUCAAGGCACUUGGACUUCACAAAAGCAUUUUUUCAAAAAAAAAAAUCAUGCAUGAGGCUGCAUGACAUACCUUUAAUAGUGUUUUUUUUACAUUGUUAUGAUGGAAAAUGAUAUGAAACAUGAUUGCUUAUAUUAAAAUUUACAUUGUGAUAACAUAUUUUAAAAAAACAUGAAAAAUUAUUUGUAGACAUACAUUGUACAUCCGUAUUAUAUUUUUCACAGAGGAUUUUUACAUUGUUAAAAUGGAAAAUUAUAUGAAAUAUGAUUCUUUAUAUUAAAAUUCGUAUUUUGAUAAUAAAGUGGUAAAAAGUCCAAAUGCAAAAAGCCUUGUGUAGAAAGGAACUUUUCAUCAAAUAUGCAAUAACACACUCUUUUCUCAACCAAUACCUUUGUGCUUACCCAGGUGUGUGCAUUAGGCAAAAGGUGCUAAGAGCUUGGGAAAGUAGUGUUUUUUAACAACUACAUACACGUGCAUGAAAUACCGUUCAAUGACAGUUUUCUCAUGUUUAUGAUGUUGAAUGAUAAGAAAUGUUAUUUAGAUUAACAAACAUAAUUUGAAUAUAGUGCUAAAAAUUCAAAAUCAUGAUAAAUAAAGUUUAAAAAGUCAUUAUUCAUCCAAUAUACACAAACACACUAUUUUCUUAACAGACCUCUAUGUGCAAACACAAGGGUGUGCUUUAGGCGCUAAAAACGCUAUUUAGACAGUGUCAAGAUGCUUAAAGCUUGGGAAAGUGUUUUUUUCUAUCAAGUGCAUGUAUACAUGUGCAUGAAAUUCUUUUCAAUUACAUUUUUCAAUAAUACGAAAUAUGAUUGUUUACAUUAAAAUGUAUAAUUUGAUAAAUUGUUAAAAACUCAAAAUCUUGAAAAUAAAUGUUCAGAAAUGUUCAGAAAAUAAAUGUUCAUCCAAUAUAUACAAUCACACUGGUUUCUUACACAACACAAGUGAGCGCUGUAGGCGCUGAAAACGCGAUUUAGUCAAUUUCAAGGAGCUUGGGAACUGGGAUAGGAGUUUUCUAAAAAACACAUUCAUAAACUUACAUGAAAUACAUUUUCAAUAACAUUUUUAUAUGUUUAUAAUAAACAAAAAUACGAAAUAUGAUUGUGUACAUGAAAAUGCAUAGUUGGUGUAGGAGCCAUGCUUACCAUCUUAUUUAAUUUUUCUUAUAUGUUCAUUUAAAUAUUAGUUUGCUGCUAUAUUGUUAAUGUUGUUUAUUUCUCUGAGUGUGUGCCCUCUAUAGGUGUAACGAAUCCGGCCUCUGUGGUUCCCCCUGAUCGUCACCAGAGGUCACCAUCACCCGAGUAUUGACUUUCCUCUUUAAACUACAUUUCCCAUCACCCCGCGCCCAGCACUGAUUACGAGCUCACCUGCAGCCUAUUACCGGGACUACUUAAGCCUCUGCUGCUCGCUCACUCUUUGCGAAGUCUUGUUUUGCCCUGGCUGACAUUUCUGAGCGUUUGUAUCUUCUUUGUUGGAUUACCGUGUUUGACCUUGGACUGUUAUUUCUCGUUUCUGGAUUCUUUGCUGCCUACCCUGACCAUCUGCCUGUUUGAUUACUCUGCCUUUGUCUCGCCUCUGAUCACCCUGUUUUGCUGUUGCUUGACCACGCCUGUACGACUGUGUCUGACUUUUAUUAAACGCUGCUAAUGGAUCCCCAUUCUGUUGACUCCUCGUUACAAUAGGUGUAGAGCAUACAGUCUUUUGAUCGAGUGCAUGGAGCUAAGAUGGCAUGGUGCAACAAGCCUGCAAUUAGCCUUUAAGUUGUUUGUUUGUUUUAUGUUGCAAUUCAAGUUAAUUUUGGUUUAAACAACUUCAGUUAUUGUUUGGAACCUCAACAAGCCUUUCUGGAUCUAUUCAUGCUACUUUGCACGUGUUAAAUUAUUGCAUCAACACCUCCCACAGUGGCCAAGAAACAAGGGACAAAAUUGGAAAUUUGGAACAUGUUUUUUACCACUACAUCAUGUCAAAAGACUCUGCUUUGAAAAUGGAAUUUGUUUGAGAAGAGGAUUACUUUUGUACUUGAAUGGAAUAGACUGUUUGAGACCACAUGGAAAUGAGACUGCAUGGCAUUGGAGGCAGCAAACAAAGGAAACUUCUCAAAGAGGUAUGUGCUUGAGGAUGCAAUUUGCUGAGCUAAUGCUAAGUUAAAUUUGAAUGUUAUUGGAAAGACUUUCAAGUUUGGUGCUGCAGACAGUGGAUGAAAGAAUUCGUUUGAAGAAUUCAAAGAUUUUGAUGUGUGUAAUUUUUAAAGAAGAAUCAAAGGAGAUUUGAAAAGGUUUUACGUUAUUGGAAAGAGAAUAUUUGCUUGUUUUGAGGCAAAAUGGAGGAGUCUGAUGUAGAACAAUCCCCUAGCUCAGCUCAGAAGGACUUGAAUGAGGUUAAUCCUCAUUUGCUGGCACAUCUUACGAGGCAAAUGAAUAUUGUUAAUUCUUUGAUGGCUGAUGCUGAAUAUUUGGAAGAAGUAAAGGGGAACAUGUUGAAGUUCAGUGAACAGCUUGAUGAAUUCAAGUCUCUUCAAGAAUCCUAUGUUCAAGUGUUAAGUGAAGAGGAUAAAGCUGAAGACUUGAAAACCUGGUAUGAACCAAGAAUUAAGCAAACAAGUUUCUUCUGCUCUAAAAGCGUCUGACCAGCUAAAUGAAGAUAAUGCCUCAGUGGUUUUGUCUGUCCGUAGUAAUAGAUCUGGCAGGUCCAGCAGAUCAAGUUCAAGCAGAACAAGUGUGUCAACAUCAGCUUCAGCAUGUAGAGUUAGGUCCAUAAAUAUUGGGACAGUGUCACAGUUUUGGUAAUUUUGCCUCUGUACACCACCACAGUUGAUUUGAAAUGAAGCAGUCAAGAAGUGACUGAAGCAUAGACUUUCAGCUUUAAUUCAAGGGGUUUAACAAAAAUAUUGCAUUAACCGUUUAGGAAUUACAGCCAUUUUUUACAGAGUUCCUCCAUUUUCACAGGCUCAAAAGUAAUGGGACAAACUAAUAUAAUCAUAAAUAUUAGGAUUAUUUUUAUUACUUGGAGGUAAAUCCUUUGCAGUCAAUGAAUACCUGAAGUCUGGACCCCAUGGACAUCACCAAAUGCUGAGUUUAUUCCCUUGAGAUGAUUUGCCAGGUCUUUACUGCAGCCAUCUUCAGUUGCUGCUUGUUUGUGUGGGUCAUUCUGCCUUCAGAUUUGUCUUCAGUAAGUGAAAAGCAGCUCAGUUGGGUUGAGGUCAGGUGACUGACUCGGCCAUUUAAGAACAUUUAAUUUCCAAGCUCUUGGGGCUGCUUUCACAGUAUGUUUUGGGUUGUUAUCCAUCUGUACUGUGAAGCGCUGUCCUAUCAGUUUUGCAGCAUUGACUGAAUCUGAGCAGAAAGUAUAGCUCUGUACACUUCAGAAUUCAUCCUGCUACUUCUAUCAACAGUCACAUUAUCAAUAAUCCCCAGUGACCCAGUUCCAUUGGCAGCCAAACAUGCCCAUGCCAUAACACUGCCUCCACAUGUUUGACAGAUGAUGUGGUAUGCUAUGGAUCAUGAGCCAUUCCUUUCCUUCUCCAUACUUUUCUCUUCCCAUCAUUCUGGUACAAGUUAAUCUUGCAUCAGAACUGGUCAGGCUUUUUUUAGAGGUUUUUUAGCAAAGUCUAAUCUGGCCUUUGUGUUCUUGAGUGUUACCAGCGGUUUGCAUCUUGAGGUAAACUGUCUGUAUUUACAUUCAUGAAGGUUGCUCUUGAUUGUAGACUUUGACAAUGAUAGGCCUGCGUCCUCCAGAGUGUUCCUGACUUGGCUAGAUGUUGUGAAGGGGUUGUUCUUCAAUAAGAAGAAUUCUGCAAUCAUCCACUUUAGUUGUUUUCUGUGGUCUCCCAGGCCUUUUGGUGUUGCUGAGCUCGCCAGUGCAUUCCUUCUUUUUAAGAAUGUACCAAAUUGUUGAUUUGGCCCUCCUAAAGUUUCUGCUAUCUCUCUGAUAGGUCUGUUUUGGUUUUUCAGCCUAAUGAUGGCCUCCUUCACUUGCAUCAACACCUCUUUGGACGGCAUAUUGAGAGUUCCAUGAACAGCUAUCAAAUGCAAAUUCAACACUUGGAAUCAGCUCCAGACCUUUUAUCUCCUUAAUUUAUCAUGGAUGGAUGCAUGUGCAAAGUAUGGAUAUAAGGAGGAAACAGGCCCCAGCUGGCCAUGAAACUGCUUAUCAGUCA